Molecule: long non-coding RNA, 1316 nt
Organism: Dermochelys coriacea (leatherback sea turtle)
Lineage: Eukaryota; Metazoa; Chordata; Testudines; Dermochelyidae
Exons: 3
Source: RefSeq, a predicted model, not a curated record
CUGGAGGUGUUGUAAGAUUUGAAAAACCAGUGAACUGAAGUAAGGGAGACCCUGCCCCAGCAGGUUCCUUUCCUAACGUUUAAGGACCGAAGGUUCUCCACCCAAGGAGAAAGAGGAUCUGUCAGAUGCCUUAAAUACCACAGACCAUACCGUAUUGUUGUCAUGCCUGUAGUCCCUAGCAGGAACUGCUCUUGAGUGGCUACACUUUUCUUCUUUGAGUGGAGUUCCAGACAGUAGUUCUGGGCAAUUGUUCUUCUGCCAUGAAAGCUCUUUCAUGCAAGCUUCACUUCUGUUCACAAGGCAGUUAUGAAGAGCAACAGUGAAUCUGACCAGAGGCCUAUUCAUUUCAAUCUGCUACUUGGCAAAGCGGCAAGAAGCUAUAAAAGUACUAGAGCUUUGUCUGCAAACUCAGGAAGAUGAGACUGCAUCAUUUUGCAUUCAGUUCACAUUAGGAUGGUUCUCUUUACAUCUCUAAGAGCUAGAAACAAUUUUUAAUUAAAACUGAAAUAGUACAGUUUUCCCUCCUUCUUUGUGACAUCUUUCUAGUUAUCACUUGUGAAUAGACGAGCAGAUUUUUUUCAAGCCCCGUCUGGCAGACUUUGUGAAUGCUGAAAGCAAGGCUUGCACAAAAACUAACACAAAAUGCAUGGUUUUACAGGAUUAGAUCUUGAUUCUAUUUUCUGUUUCCUACAUUCUGGGUCUGAAUGAGGCAAGACAAUUUUGGCUUACUCUGUUUAGACUUUUGUUUUACAUUGACUUUUUAUGGAGGAAGUGGAAAUACACCAAGAUAGAAAGGAGUGCUCAAAGUCACCAUUUAUAAAAAGAGAUGAGUGAACAAUGAAGUCUCUGUUGUACAAUGCAAAUAAACAUUCACAGAAAACAGUUGGACAAAAAACUAGUAGUCCAUUUAGCCACUCCUUCUGUUGGACGAAUCACAGAACCAAGAACAAAAUAUUACUUUGUUUACAACAAAAUGCAGCUGCUGAAAAUCUUAUCACUCCCCUCUGUGAGUCCAAUAGCUUCCUCUCACCUCCUACAUCAACAAGCUUCUGUCAUCUUCAAUAUACAUCCCUACCCCUUCCUAAACUUGGCGCAUUUCCUCCUCCUCCUCCUCUAACUUCUUUAGCUCUCCUUCCAAAUUUCCUUCCCAAAAGUCCCUUGUGAGUCUUUCACCCAUGCUUUGUCUGUGUUUUUCCACACCAUCCCUUAUGAUUGGAAUUCCUAUGUUUCCCUUGCACACUAAACAACCUGCUUCUACUCAAAAUCAUUCCUCAAAAUGCACAUUUUGUGUGAGGCCCUUCAACAACAGUGUUCUA